CUCCGGGCCCGCCCCCGCCCGGAGCCCCGCCGGCAAUGGCGCCCGCCGCCUCCCGGAGGUGAUGCCAGGCGAUGCCAGGCGAUGCCAGGCGAUGCCCGCCGGUCCCUUCCCGGUCCCGGCGCCUAUCACAGCAAAGCCGUCAGUCCCUCGCCCACCGCCCCCCUCUCCUCCUCGCCCGCAGAAAGGGGUGGGCACUGCCCCUGCCCCACCGGAGGAGGAGGAGGAAGAAAGGAGGAGGAGGGAGAGGGGCUUGGGGGCCACUAGGACCCCGGCCUCCUCCCGGUGAAGCCCAAGGAUGCUCCCCCUCCGAGCUUCGCUGGCAAGAACUGUGA
This 332-nucleotide long non-coding RNA is filed under the name Ornithorhynchus anatinus (platypus). Its description in RNAcentral is "lncRNA (ENSOANG00000040899.1)". The record is from RNAcentral. Lineage: Eukaryota; Metazoa; Chordata; Mammalia; Monotremata; Ornithorhynchidae.